This 497-nucleotide ribosomal RNA is filed under the name uncultured bacterium. RNAcentral's name for it is "partial 16S ribosomal RNA". It matches the Rfam family "Bacterial small subunit ribosomal RNA", at positions 28 to 507 of the family's 1533-position model. The record is from RNAcentral.
GAUGAACGCUGGCGGCGUGCCUAAUACAUGCAAGUCGAGCGAACAGAUGAGGAGCUUGCUCCUCUGACGUUAGCGGCGGACGGGUGAGUAACACGUGGAUAACCUACCUAUAAGACUGGGAUAACUUCGGGAAACCGGAGCUAAUACCGGAUAAUAUAUUGAACCGCAUGGUUCAAUAGUGAAAGACGGUUUUGCUGUCACUUAUAGAUGGAUCCGCGCCGCAUUAGCUAGUUGGUAAGGUAACGGCUUACCAAGGCAACCAUGCGUAGCCGACCUGAGAGGGUGAUCGGCCACACUGGAACUGAGACACGGUCCAGAGGCCUACGGGAGGCAGCAGUAGGGAAUCUGCCGCAAUGGGCGAAAGCCUGACGGAGCAACGCCGCGUGAGUGAUGAAGAUCUUCGGAUCGUAAAACUCUGUUAUUAGGGAAGAACAAAUGUGUAAGUAACGAUGCACGUCUUGACGGUACCUAAUCAGAAAGCCACGGCUAACUACGUG